AGGAACCUCCUCUAAGGAUUCUAUGGACAGUCGAUGCAGGGAGUGGCUGCUCCCUGCAUCGGCGAUUUU
RNAcentral lists this non-coding RNA (69 nucleotides) under Escherichia coli. Lineage: Bacteria; Pseudomonadati; Pseudomonadota; Gammaproteobacteria; Enterobacterales; Enterobacteriaceae. The record is from RNAcentral.